GUGGGCGGAGCCAGUUGUGCGCCGGGCUUGGGGCCCGCCCAGCGGCAGCCGGACGUGCUUCAGACCCCGCGCUCUGGGCAGCGGCUGGGUGCGUGGUCCGGUUGCUGCGUGGAGUGAAGCUGCUGGGCUGCUGCUCUUCUUGCCGCUCCCUUGCUCAGGGCCGCUGGUCGACCCCCACCCUCCCCACUCCCCUUGGCCUCGAUGUUCUCACCUUACAGGCGGCUCUUUGCCGAAGCACGAGCUCCUCGCCCCGCUCCUCUUGGUUAUUGCGCUCCGCCCCCUCGUCUCUCUUCCUCCCGGUCCCCAGCGGUCUCCAGGGUUCUCCGACGGUCGGAGCUACGGCGUCCCGACAUGCGGCGGGCCGCUGUGCUCCUGCUGCUCAUCAGGACCCGGCCCUUGGAGGGCGACGACCGGAAACCCAGCUGGAAAUUCCGCUUUGAUUUCUAACCUCUCCUCGUCUGAUGUUCCUGACGUCGUUCUGGACUUCUUCGAUUGUGUUUGCUUGUCAGCCAGCAGAACGAUUCAAGCAAGCCAAUCACAUCCUUGCUUAGGAACCAGGGGGUACCUCACCCUCGUGAUACUGCAAAGCCCGCUUCCCACAGACCCUUCUGGUUCACGCCGUUCCAGAAUGCAACCCCCAUGUGUCCUGCAUGGCCUGCGAUGUCCUCCUCUCCUGGGCUGCCCAAGAGCAAAAACUAUGCAAAUGAAAGUGGUUCAGAAGGUCUUGGACAGGAUGCUGAUGGGAUGUGGUAUCCACCUGAGCCCACAUAUUGGAGUGACCUGUGGGGUACAUGAAUGCCCCCGUGAUUGCCCAUGGGAUUUGCAGUCGGGACCUAGAUGCCUGCUCGGCACGAGCCACGUCCUGCAGAGACUCAGCUCUGGCAUUGUGUCGACGACAUCCUCGUCACUGGACCUGGCCAAGACUCUGUGUCACAGACCAUCACAACUAAAACCCGGAGCUUAGCCACUUCCUUCUUGAUCCUGAUGAGAACCUGACGUGGACCAGUGAUUCUGAAACCAUCCUUAGCCUGUGUUCAUUCGUCAUCCAGUAUAAGCCAAGCAAACUACCCGCCAAUUUCUGGAGAAAGAGGUGUCCUUAUCUGCCAUCCAUGUACUUUGCUCCAGUAAAGGCACUGUGGAGCCCAGGAGGUGGAACGAAACCUCUCCCAGACCAGCUGGCUCACUAUUAAGCUGUGCCUGUAGAGAUUUCCUGAGAGAGACAAGAAGUCUGAAGGAAGGAGAAUCUACUAUGUCUUCUCUCUGUCCCUGUUCCUCUCUGUAUCACCCCCCUAAAGAACCUCCUGAGGGCAGAGAACUAGAUUCUGCUGCUGGUUUUAAAUCGGGAAAUGUUUCCCACCACCUUGUGAUGCCAAAGUCCGUAUCAUUCGACACUAAAGAAGAGAGUGCACAUCAGUAUGAAAAUGCUGAGGAAGAGAAAGAGGAUGGAAAUGAAAAAGCAGAAGAAGGACCCAAAGUGGAUACGGUCUCAGCAGAGGGCAGCUCUGGAGAAUACGGUUGGAAGGCAUAAAAAGAAGUGGACGGCGAAAGAAGAGAUGAAUUUGUUCUUCACGGAUAUUCUAGUUUUCAUUAGCCCACAAUACAAAUUUUGUUCCAAAGUUCAGCAUCCCAAAAUGAUAUUAACUGACAUCUGACUUUAUUCUUACCUUUUACAGAUAAAUUUGGUAGUAUUGUUCACAUUGAAAAUAAAAGCUUGUUUGACGUGAAUAA
This is a long non-coding RNA of Balaenoptera acutorostrata (minke whale), 1728 nucleotides long. RefSeq lists it as uncharacterized. The transcript has 8 exons. NCBI's taxonomy places the organism in Eukaryota, Metazoa, Chordata, Mammalia, Artiodactyla, Balaenopteridae. The record is from RefSeq and is a predicted model, not a curated record.